UACGUCCGAAGCGGGUCGGACGUGACCCA
RNAcentral lists this small RNA (29 nucleotides) under Bombyx mori (domestic silkworm). RNAcentral's name for it is "ovarian small RNA-21172". The record is from RNAcentral. Lineage: Eukaryota; Metazoa; Arthropoda; Insecta; Lepidoptera; Bombycidae.